AGCGUAGGCGGGAUGGCAAGUCAGAUGUGAAACCUGAGGGCUCAACCUUCAGACUGCAUUUGAAACUGCUGUUCUUGAGUGAAGUAGAGGUAAGCGGAAUUCCUGGUGUAGCGGUGAAAUGCGUAGAGAUCAGGAGGAACAUCGGUGGCGAAGGCGGCUUACUGGGCUUUUACUGACGCUGAGGCUGAAAGCGUGGGGAGCAAACA
Molecule: ribosomal RNA, 206 nt
Filed under: uncultured bacterium
Lineage: Bacteria
Description: partial 16S ribosomal RNA
Rfam family: Bacterial small subunit ribosomal RNA
Source: RNAcentral